UACAGAGGGUGCGAGCGUUAAUCGGAAUUACUGGGCGUAAAGCGCACGUAGUCGGCUUUGCAAGUCGGUUGUGAAAUCCCCGGGCUCAACCUGGGAACUGCAUCCGAGACUGCAUUGCUAGAGUAUGGGAGAGGAAAGCGGAAUUUCUGGUGUAGCAGUGAAAUGCGUAGAUAUCAGAAGGAACAUCAGUGGCGAAGGCGGCUUUCUGGACCAAUACUGACGCUGAGGCGCGACAGCGUGGGGAGCAAACAGG
This 253-nucleotide ribosomal RNA is filed under the name uncultured bacterium. RNAcentral's name for it is "partial 16S ribosomal RNA". It matches the Rfam family "Bacterial small subunit ribosomal RNA", at positions 524 to 776 of the family's 1533-position model. The record is from RNAcentral.